GACAACCCUCUCUUCUGGAGCAGCGGCUCUGGCUUGCCUCCCAAACACGACGCUACGAAUACGAAGGCAAGAACGGCGAGCAAUGGCGCUGCGGAUGACAGCAGGGGGCGCUCGGUGACGAAAGGUUCGUGGGUCGAUGCGGGUCGCCGCGGCGUGUGACUUCUGAGAGUGAGGCUGAGCAAGAAUGUGGCUCAUCAACAUUCUCCGCGAAUUUGACUGCAAUGAAGUAAGUCUCCUUUGAUGAAGCUUUCUCAAAUCUGUGUUCUGAAAGUAAGAUUGGCAGAAAUAAAGUAGACCACCGAAACGUUGGAGAUCUUCAGAAUUGUUGUGGCUUUUCGCCCAAACCCUUAGUACGUUGCUUCAUAUGUACCAACAUCAUUUGUAAAUAUCAAACUCCUUUUGUAUUGAACCUGUACUGGUCCAGUUUGUUGGUCCGCCAAGGCAAAUUAUUGCACAAUAUUGUGUCGUGAA
Molecule: long non-coding RNA, 471 nt
Organism: Corylus avellana
Lineage: Eukaryota; Viridiplantae; Streptophyta; Magnoliopsida; Fagales; Betulaceae
Source: RefSeq, a predicted model, not a curated record